This 273-nucleotide ribosomal RNA is filed under the name uncultured bacterium. RNAcentral's name for it is "partial 16S ribosomal RNA". It matches the Rfam family "Bacterial small subunit ribosomal RNA", at positions 524 to 796 of the family's 1533-position model. The record is from RNAcentral.
UACGAAGGGGGCAAGCGUUGUUCGGAAUAACUGGGCGUAAAGCGCACGUAGGCGGAAUGUUAAGUUAGAGGUGAAGUCCCAGGGCUCAACCCUGGAACGGCCUUUAAUACUGGCAAUCUAGAGACCGAGAGAGGUGAGUGGAAUUCCGAGUGUAGAGGUGAAAUUCGUAGAUAUUCGGAGGAACACCAGUGGCGAAGGCGGCUCACUGGCUCGGUACUGACGCUGAGGUGCGAAAGCGUGGGGAGCAAACAGGAUUAGAUACCCGAGUAGUCC